This 348-nucleotide ribosomal RNA is filed under the name Triticum aestivum (bread wheat). Its description in RNAcentral is "partial small subunit ribosomal RNA". The record is from RNAcentral. Lineage: Eukaryota; Viridiplantae; Streptophyta; Magnoliopsida; Poales; Poaceae.
AUGCGAUACAUAACCAACUCCGGGAUGAUGACCCAGCUCAAGACGCUCUCGGAGGUCAUGUACCGAGGAUACAGUGUGCUGGACAACUCAAGGUACCGAACCGUCCAGGAUGGUGCAGAGGUUAGCAGCAAUGAGUCAUCUAGCAUCAGCUUGUAUUUAGUCAAGCGUUCUCGAACAAUAACUGAUAAGGCCGUGCGCCCCGAGUCACAUGGUGCCUUGGAAAGCUUAGAAAUUGCUGUUGCUAAUAUGACAGAAUUUGUUGUGCUUCUGGGUGGUUGCGAGCAGAUGCCUCGUAGGCCUUAUGAUGUAUCUUUACACCGAAAAAUUCAUGUUCAGUCGACAUGCUGA